Molecule: ribosomal RNA, 460 nt
Filed under: uncultured bacterium
Lineage: Bacteria
Description: partial 16S ribosomal RNA
Rfam family: Bacterial small subunit ribosomal RNA
Source: RNAcentral
CCUACGGGAGACAGCAGUGAGGAAUAUUGGUCAAUGGACGAGAGUCUGAACCAGCCAAGUAGCGUGAAGGAUGACUGCCCUAUGGGUUGUAAACUUCUUUUAUAUAGGAAUAAAACAAGGCAUGCAUGCCUUUUUGCAUGUACUUUAUGAAUAAGGAUCGGCUAACUCCGUGCCAGCAGCCGCGGUAAUACGGAGGAUCCGAGCGUUAUCCGGAUUUAUUGGGUUUAAAGGGAGCGUAGAUGGGUUGUUAAGUCAGUUGUGAAAGUUUGCGGCUCAACCGUAAAAUUGCAUUUGAAACUGGCAGUCUUGAGUACAGUAGAGGUAGGCGGAAUUCGUGGUGUAGCGGUGAAAUGCUUAGAUAUCACGAAGAACCCCGAUUGCGAAGGCAGCUUACUAAACUGUAACUGACACUGAUGCUCGAAAGUGUGGGUAUCAAACAGGAUUAGAUACCCUAGUAGUC